CUCACCUCGAGGUCCUUAACUUCAUUGCAUCUGCAAAGACCCUCUUUACAAAUAAGGUCCCGUCCUCAGGUACCGGGGGCUGGGACGUGGACAUAUCGUUUUAGGAGGGUGACACCACUUGACCCACUAUACUUGCCAGAAACUAAAGAUGCUAUACAGGUAAAUGCAAUAAAAGCAAAUCCAUGUAAUUAAAUUUUAACCGUGACCUUUUACCUGCCAUGGGCUCUGGGCCCAAGGCCCACCCUCUCUCUGUUAAAAAGGGGGACCAGCUGGUGUCAGAGACCUGUUAGCACCCACCCAAGGCUUUCUCUUUGAUCGGAUCAGAAGGGCUGACCAAAGAGAAGCAGGUCACGCUAGGACUGUUGUUAGGUCUGUGCCUUGUUCCCCUUAAAAUCAUUUCAGGACCGCCGGAGAUGCUGUGAGUGGCUCACACACAUCACGGUGUGGUGCCAACUGUGAGUUUGGGGGAUUUUUUUGAACCUUCCUUCUCCAGUAGACUCACCUACAGGCAAGGAUGGUGUCUUACCUGACAUGGUCUCCCCAAGGCUGGGCACAGGGGCUGGCCUGCUGUGGGCUCUCCACGAAUUGAGUUGGAUGGAUGGACGGGCGGGCGGACGGACGGAUGGAUGGUCGGAUGGGGCCAUUCUUGGACACAGUCCCAAGUUCCCGAAGCCUGAAUUCCAUUCCUGAGUCUAUGCCCGUGACCCUGACCUUCAGCCUCACCCAAUUUGUGUUCACUCUGGUGUCUUCCCAGGGCCAACCAGACACGUUUGAAAUAAUCUGCCACGGCUGGGUUGACAAAGACAGGAGCCUUUGGGGGCUCUACUUUGCCGCCAUCAGAAAUUCUGUGUCCCCCACCCUUCCCCAGGGCUCUGAGCUGAGACAGCUGUGCUGGCGUCUCCACGUCCACGGAAACCUCAGGCAGCCCCAAGCGGGCUUCGGAGCGCAGACCCCGUUCAAGUCCCUGGGCUGUUCCUCCCCAGCCACGCACGUGGUUAAACCCCGGAUGCUCCUGGCAGGGCCUUGGUUGUGUAGACGGAGCGGGGACAGGUGAAGGCGAAGAGAAAGUCUGCGCUGGCCGCUUGUCCGUCUUUGACAGCCAUUCACGCACACGUGCACCGACCCGUUAGCUGACCGCCCCUUCGCGCAAGAGCAAGAAGCCCCCGCCCCCACAGUGUCAACACGCAACCUCUGGAGCCAGAAGCGACUGUUCCCCGUCAUUUUCACUGUACGUGCUGACAGCCACCUGCCUCUUAGGGAAAGCCAGACUGGUGGUGCGGUUGUGGCAAUAUUGUGAAAUGUCCUCCUCGAUUAAAAUUA
This 1320-nucleotide long non-coding RNA is filed under the name Equus caballus (horse). Its description in RNAcentral is "lncRNA (ENSECAG00000052324.1)". The record is from RNAcentral. Lineage: Eukaryota; Metazoa; Chordata; Mammalia; Perissodactyla; Equidae.